CUACUACUCCCCCCGUCCUAAAAUUCUUGUCUUAGAUUUGUCUAAAUACGGAUAUAUCAAGUCACGUUUUAGUAUUAGGUACAGCUGUAUCUAGACAAAUGUAAGACAAUAAUUUUGGGACGGAUGGAGUACAUU
Triticum urartu is the source of this 135-nucleotide non-coding RNA. Lineage: Eukaryota; Viridiplantae; Streptophyta; Magnoliopsida; Poales; Poaceae. The record is from Rfam.